UUGAUCCUGGCUCAGAAUCCACGCUGGUNGGCGUGCCUAACACAUGCAAGUCGAACGAGAACGGUGCUUUUGGGCACUAAGUAGAGUGGCGAACGGGUGAGUAACGCGUGGAUGAUCUGCCUGGUAGAGGGGGAUAACCCGGGGAAACCCGGGCUAAUACCGCAUAAUCCCGAAAGGGGAAAGGUUUCGAUCGCUAUUAGAGUGAGUCCGCGUCCGAUUAGCUGGUAGCGUGAGGUAACGGCUUACCUAGGCGACGAUCGGUAGGCCGGUCUUGAGAGGACCGGGACGGCCACACU
Molecule: ribosomal RNA, 296 nt
Filed under: uncultured bacterium
Lineage: Bacteria
Description: partial 16S ribosomal RNA
Rfam family: Bacterial small subunit ribosomal RNA
Source: RNAcentral